AUGCUGCGCAAGCACACCUACUUCGCCGAGCUCGGCCAGAGCAAGGGCGCCUUCGCCGCGUCGGCCACGCUCUCCGCGGUCCGUGCCCACCGCCUCGCGCGCUGGGCACGGUUUGCCCCCUCCCUCGCCGCCGCGCGCGAGCACCUCUUCGACAAGACGGUCACGCCCAGCGACGUGUGGCGGUUCCUCUACUCUUACUGGAACAAGAGCCAGAGCUACGUCCUCACCAAGGGCUGGAGCCGCUUCGUGAAGGAGAAGGGCCUUGGCGUGGGCGACGUCGUCGGGUUCUACCGCUCCGGCACCGGCAGCACUGGUGAAGGCACCAAGUAGGUUCGCCCGGCGUUUGUGUCGCCGGAGACUACUCGGCGUUCGUCGCCGGACCGGGUUUGUCCCAACACCAAGCUCUUCAUUGAGUGCAAGCUCCGACGGAACACCAACAGCGCCUCGCUCGUGAACCCCGUCGAUCAGCAGGCGCCCGUGGAAAAGGCCGUGAGACUCUUCGGCAUCGACCUUCUGACGGUGCCCGUGUCCUUGGCGGCGGCAGAGCAGGGGAUGCCGAGGUGCAAGAGGGCCAGAGACUUGGUGAAGUCGCCGCCUCCGAAAGAGGCGUUCAAGAAGCAAUGCAUAGAGUUGACGCUAGCGUAG
Molecule: ribosomal RNA, 645 nt
Filed under: Triticum aestivum (bread wheat)
Lineage: Eukaryota; Viridiplantae; Streptophyta; Magnoliopsida; Poales; Poaceae
Description: partial small subunit ribosomal RNA
Source: RNAcentral